GUGCUUGCUUCAGCAGCACAUAUACUAAGAAUUUGAAGGAUACAGAGAUUAGCAUGGCUCCUGCACAAGGAUGACUUGCAGAUGUAUGAAGUAUUUCAUAUUUAU
Small nuclear RNA from Fukomys damarensis (Damara mole-rat), 105 nucleotides. The record is from Ensembl. NCBI's taxonomy places the organism in Eukaryota, Metazoa, Chordata, Mammalia, Rodentia, Bathyergidae.